RNAcentral lists this ribosomal RNA (873 nucleotides) under uncultured archaeon. RNAcentral's name for it is "bacterial SSU rRNA". It matches the Rfam family "Archaeal small subunit ribosomal RNA", at positions 6 to 869 of the family's 1478-position model. The record is from RNAcentral.
GGUUGAUCCUGCCGGACCCCACUGCUAUCGAGGUGGGACUAAGCCAUGCUAGUCGAACGAACUUAGGUUAGUGGCACACUGCUCAGUACACGUAGCUAACCUACCCUUAAGACGGGGACAACCCCGAGAAAUUGGGGCUAAUAGGCGAUAGGUGUGAUGUCCUGGAAUGGUAUCACGCCCAAAGGUAUCCCAUACAUGUUUGGUAUACGCCUAAGGAUGGGGCUGCGGCCGAUCAGGCAGUUGGUGAGGUAAUGGCUCACCAAACUUUGACCGGUACGGGCCAUGAGAGUGGUAGCCCGGAGAUGGACACUGAGACAAGGGUCCAGGCCCUACGGGGCGCAGCAGGCGCGAAACCUCCUCAAUGCACUAACGUGCGAAGGGGUUACCUCGAGUGCCACCUGAAGAAGGUGGCUUUUCCUUGGUCUAAAAAGCCUCGGGAAUAAGAGGGGGGCAAGACUGGUGUCAGCCGCCGCGGUAACACCAGCCCCUCGAGUGGUGGGGAUGAUUAUUUGGCCUAAAGCGUCCGUAGCCGGCCGGGUAAGUCUCCCGUUAAAUCCAGCGUCUCAAGCGUUGGACUGCGGGAGAUACUGCCUGGCUAGAGAGUGGGAGAGGUCAGCGGUAUUCUGGGGGUAGGGGCGAAAUCCUUUGAUCCCCGGAGGACCACCAGUGGCGAAGGCUGCUGACUAGAACACGUCUGACGGUCAGGGACGAAAGCUGGGGUAGCGAACCGGAUUAGAUACCCGGGUAGUCCCAGCCGUAAACGAUGCAUGCUAGGUGUUGGGUUGGUCACGAGCCACCCCAGUGCCGCAGGGAAGCCGUUAAGCAUGCCGCCUGGGAAGUACGAUCGCAAGGUUGAAACUUAAAGGAAUUGGC